GCUCACUUCAGCAGAGCACAUACCAAACUUAGAAUGAUACAGAGAAGAUUAGCAUGGAGCCUGCACAAGGAUGUCAAGUAAAUUUGUGAAGUUUUCCACUUUUUU
This is a small nuclear RNA of Cricetulus griseus (Chinese hamster), 105 nucleotides long. The record is from Ensembl. Lineage: Eukaryota; Metazoa; Chordata; Mammalia; Rodentia; Cricetidae.